Molecule: small RNA, 96 nt
Filed under: Propithecus coquereli (Coquerel's sifaka)
Lineage: Eukaryota; Metazoa; Chordata; Mammalia; Primates; Indriidae
Description: Y RNA (ENSPCOG00000001908.1)
Source: RNAcentral
UCCUAGUCCCCAUUGAUUGAUUGUUCACAGUCAGUUACAGAUCCGACUCCUUGUACUACUCUUCCCCCCUUCUCACUGCUGCACUUGACUAGUCUA